This 467-nucleotide ribosomal RNA is filed under the name uncultured bacterium. RNAcentral describes it as "partial 16S ribosomal RNA". It matches the Rfam family "Bacterial small subunit ribosomal RNA", at positions 28 to 507 of the family's 1533-position model. The record is from RNAcentral.
GACGAACGCUGGCGGCGUGCUUAACACAUGCAAGUCGAACGGAAAGGCCCUGCUUUUGUGGGGUGCUCGAGUGGCGAACGGGUGAGUAACACGUGAGUAACCUGCCCUUGACUUUGGGAUAACUUCAGGAAACUGGGGCUAAUACCGGAUAGGAGCUCCUGCUGCAUGGUGGGGGUUGGAAAGUUUCGGCGGUUGGGGAUGGUCUCGCGGCUUAUCAGCUGUUGGUGGGGUAGUGGCUUACCAAGGCUUUGACGGGUAGCCGGCCUGAGAGGGUGACCGGCCACAUUGGGACUGAGAUACGGCCCAGAAUCCUACGGGAGGCAGCAGUGGGGAAUAUUGCACAAUGGGCGGAAGCCUGAUGCAGCAACGCCGCGUGCGGGAUGACGGCCUUCGGGUUGUAAACCGCUUUCGCCUGUGACGAAGCGUGAGUGACGGUAAUGGGUAAAGAAGCACCGGCUAACUACGUG